RNAcentral lists this ribosomal RNA (467 nucleotides) under uncultured bacterium. Its description in RNAcentral is "partial 16S ribosomal RNA". It matches the Rfam family "Bacterial small subunit ribosomal RNA", at positions 28 to 506 of the family's 1533-position model. The record is from RNAcentral.
GACGAACGCUGGCGGCGUGCUUAACACAUGCAAGUCGAACGGAAAGGCCCUGCUUUUGUGGGGUGCUCGAGUGGCGAACGGGUGAGUAACACGUGAGUAACCUGCCCUUGACUUUGGGAUAACUUCAGGAAACUGGGGCUAAUACCGGCUAGGAGCUCCUGCUGCAUGGUGGGGGUUGGAAAGUUUCGGCGGUUGGGGAUGGACUCGCGGCUCAUCAGCUUGUUGGUGGGGUAGUGGCUUACCAAGGCUUUGACGGGUAGCCGGCCUGAGAGGGUGACCGGCCACAUUGGGACUGAGAGACGGCCCAGACUCCUACGGGAGGCAGCAGUGGGGAAUAUUGCACAAUGGGCGGAAGCCUGAUGCAGCAACGCCGCGUGCGGGAUGACGGCCUUCGGGUGGUAAACCGCUUUCGCCUGUGACGAAGCGUGAGGGACGGUAAUGGGUAAAGAAGCACCGGCUAACUACGU